GACGAACGCUGGCGGCGUGCUUAACACAUGCAAGUCGAACGGAAAGGCCCUGCUUUUGUGGGGUGCUCGAGUGGCGAACGGGUGAGUAACACGUGAGUAACCUGCCCUUGACUUUGGGAUAACUUCAGGAAACUGGGGCUAAUACCGGAUACGAGCUCCUGCUGCAUGGUGGGGGUUGGAAAGUUUCGGCGGUUGGGGAUGGACUCGCGGCUUAUCAGCCUGUUGGUGGGGUAGUGGCUUACCAAGGCUUUGACGGGUAGCCGGCCUGAGAGGGUGACCGGCCACAUUGGGACUGAGAUACGGCCCGGACUCCUACGGGAGGCAGCAGUGGGGAAUGUUGCACAAUGGGCGGAAGCCUGAUGCAGCAACGCCGCGUGCGGGAUGACGGCCUUCGGGUUGUAAACCGCUUUCGCCUGUGACGAAGCGUGAGUGACGGUAAUGGGUAAAGAAGCACCGGCUAACUACGUG
Molecule: ribosomal RNA, 468 nt
Filed under: uncultured bacterium
Lineage: Bacteria
Description: partial 16S ribosomal RNA
Rfam family: Bacterial small subunit ribosomal RNA
Source: RNAcentral